Molecule: ribosomal RNA, 951 nt
Filed under: uncultured bacterium
Lineage: Bacteria
Description: bacterial SSU rRNA
Rfam family: Bacterial small subunit ribosomal RNA
Source: RNAcentral
AACGGGCGCCACGCGUGGCGCCGUGAGAGUACCCGGAGAAUAAGCAUCGGCUAACUCCGUGCCAGCAGCCGCGGUAAUACGGAGGAUGCGAGCGUUAUCCGGAUUCAUUGGGUUUAAAGGGUGCGCAGGCGGCGCUCCAAGUCAGCGGUCAAAUCGCCGGGCUCAACCCGGUGCCGCCGUUGAAACUGGAGUGCUCGAGUAGGUGCGACGGAGGCGGAAUGCGUGGUGUAGCGGUGAAAUGCAUAGAUAUCACGCAGAACCCCGAUUGCGAAGGCAGCCUCCGAGCCCCCGACUGACGCUGAGGCACGAAAGCGUGGGUAUCGAACAGGAUUAGAUACCCUGGUAGUCCACGCGGUAAACGAUGAAUACUGGUUAUCCGGCGCGAUUGUGCGCUGGGUGACUCAAGCGAAAGCAUUAAGUAUUCCACCUGGGGAGUACGCCGGCAACGGUGAAACUCAAAGGAAUUGACGGGGGCCCGCACAAGCGGAGGAACAUGUGGUUUAAUUCGAUGAUACGCGAGGAACCUUACCCGGGCUCAAACGCGCAGAGACAGCCGCGGAAACGCGGUCUCCCCUCGGGGCCCUGUGCGAGGUGCUGCAUGGUUGUCGUCAGCUCGUGCCGUGAGGUGUCGGCUUAAGUGCCAUAACGAGCGCAACCCCCAUCUCCAGUUGCCACCGCGUAGAGGCGGGCACUCUGGAGAGACUGCCGGCGCAAGCUGUGAGGAAGGCGGGGAUGACGUCAAAUCAGCACGGCCCUUAUGUCCGGGGCGACACACGUGUUACAAUGGCGGGGCACAGAAGGAAGCCAGGCUGCGAGGCCGAGCCGAUCCCGAAAACCCGUCUCAGUUCGGAUCGGAGUCUGCAACCCGACUCCGUGAAGCUGGAUUCGCUAGUAAUCGCGCAUCAGCCAUGGCGCGGUGAAUACGUUCCCGGGCCUUGUACACACCGCCCG